RNAcentral lists this long non-coding RNA (5386 nucleotides) under Triticum aestivum (bread wheat). RNAcentral's name for it is "long non-coding RNA (TAES_LNC002636)". The record is from RNAcentral. Lineage: Eukaryota; Viridiplantae; Streptophyta; Magnoliopsida; Poales; Poaceae.
UGAAGGCCCAAACAUCUCAAAGAUCCACCCGUCGGUCAGAAGCAGAGGGUGCAUGCUGGUAGUAGUCAGUUCGGUUUAGUUGUGUUUCCGUGGCAUGGUUCGGUCUGGACUUUUGCAAUGCGGUAGUAGUUUUAAGUUGGUGGCUGAUCGAUGAUGUAGUCUAGUUAGUUGGUUAAUUACUAGUUACUGUUGAAUGUUGAUGUAGUGGCGCUAGCGCUUAAGGUUCAACUUAAACUGUUGGUCAUGUAUAUUUCUGUUGGUCAUGUAUUGUGUGCAUGGUUCAGUUGGUGCUAGAUGAGAUGACCACCGAGUAAAUUAGUUGCAAGUUCAAUUAAGCAGGUUUACAUUUUUCGAUCUAAUGGUUUAUGGUUGUAUGCAUGUUGUGUGUGUUGUAGCAAAUUGAGUCCGUAAUUUGUUAUGUGAGUGGCUGGCUACCGACGCAGGAACUUGCUAGACACGUGAACAAACAUAUAGCCAUGCAUGCACAGACUAUAUAUGUCAGACUUGUCCAUUAUCAUAUGUGCCAAAACAUCUAAAAUGUGUACGGAUGGAGUACGUACUACUGUGCCUGGUCAUUCUGUAAAUCUGAAAUCAUUUAAUCGUCGUGCCGGUGUACUAGCUUAGUAUCACUAGUUGGCCACAUUCGGGCACCACCCGGGGCUUUGAUCUGAGCCCCCUCCCACAGGCGCUAUAUAAUUCUUGUACAGCGUCAAAAUAGCCUCCUCUUUUACAGCGUCAAAAUAGUCUUUUUCGCGUGAGGACUAUUUUCGCGUGAGGUUUUCUAGAUGCACAAAGAGGUUUACUAGAUACACAAAUGCAUAAAAAUAUGACGCCCAAUCCGCGGCACCAAAUUUUGGGGCGGAAGUAGGGCUGGAAUUCGGGCCCAGUCAAGCCAGCUCGGCUCGUUUCGUUAAUGAGCAAGCUCGACUCGAUUCGUUACUAUAACGAGCUCAAACCCAAGAUUAGCUCGACUUGUAUAACUCGCGAGCUGGCUCGUUUAACUUGUUAAGUUCGUUUAAGAUAUAAACAUAAAGCCCUUAAAUAUGAUAAAAAAUAAUUAUGUAUAUAUUAAACAUAUAUAUCACUAAACAAUUGUAAUCUUCUUGUAACGCGUGAGUCUCUUAGGAGGCUAGGCCUUCAACUGCUCGGCCUUGGGUUGUGCGCCUGGGACAUAGGCUGUUUAGUGGCUGAUCUUUCUUUGUAUUAGGAGUGGCUGAUCUACUGUAUCGAGCUUAAUGAGUUACACGAGUACUCGUGAGAUUGACUCGUUUAACUUGGUCCAUAAACGAUCUUAAAAUAAAAUUCGGCUCGACUCGUUAUUCUUCGAGUUCGGGUCGAUUCGAGUCGAGUCACGAGCUACUUGUUUAGCUCGCGAGCUUCGAGUUUUUUUUCCAGCUCUAGGCGGAAGCGACGAAGAGAUUUUUCGGAUGAAAAAACAUCGUCGCCAAUUAGGCAGCAGCGCUAGCACAAAAACGGCGCCCAAUCCGGCGGCCUAACCUAUCCGACACCCUAAAUUUGCAUCCUAGCAGCACGUGCGGUAAAGUUUCUUAGUGCAGCGGCUCUGUUUUAACAACUGUCUGAGGAAUGUUUUUGUCUUCGACGCAUAAAAACAAUGGUUUUUAACGCGUGAGGUAUUUUUUGGGUCUCUCUGACGCAUAAAAACGAUGAUUUUUAACGCAUGAGGUAUUUUUUAGGCGCCUAUUAAAGAUGCUCUUAGAACAGCCGGGCGCCCAAUACCUGCAUGGUCCAGUCUGAUCGGUCAAAAAACAACAACCUACCCAUACGCCCGAUUGGACAAAAAAAUGACGGAUGCCUCAAGCCGAUCUUAAACCCCGUCUAAAUUGAAGCACAUAUGGGGAGGUCAGACCCGGCACAGUCUAAAUAUGAAGCGGAUAUGGGGAGAUCGGACCCGACCAACGUUGGUGGGAGGAGGCCCGGGCGCGUCCUUCAUGUCGGACCCGGCCCACCCGAUCCCACAUAUAGUCAUCCUCAUCCACUCCUUGGAUCAAACCCUAGCCACUCCACUCCGUCCCCUCCACUACACUCCGCUCUGUCCGGCGAUCUCUGGCAUGGCGGGCAGCGAAUUCGAGUCCUACACCUUCAUAUUCAUCAACCCCGAGCUCACCCAUGUGGUCCCGAGGAGGACAUGACUGCCUGGCUUACGCUCCACCGCUUUUGGGAGGAGGCCGCCCGACAACAGCGCCCAGACUCCUUUUGCAGGGAAUCCAUUGCGUCCACCCAAAUGAUGCAUGGAUCCGCCGCGAGGUGUGGCAUCACUGCCUCAUUGGAGGUGGUGCAGUUCGUGUGGCAUCUGAACAUGGUGGCGGACGCGCAAUCCCUCCGUUGGCACGCCGAGGCGGAGGUGAACGCACCAUGGAUGCAGGGUGAUGCAAUCGUGGCAGCGGGUGCGGGAGACGGCGGCAACCCUCGCGGUGGUGGACGUUGCUGAGGCGGAGUCUCAUUUUCCGGCGCCCCGUAUGAUGCACAAGUCCUGGGGCCGCAACCGCGUCAUGAUGGAUGUCGUCGGCUUGUCACAACACGGAUCCAUUAUCGAUCUGACAUCUACCAGCACCAUCAGAGUUCGGGGCUCUGACGAGGAAGAGUAGGGCAUAGGAGACGGCGACACCUUGAGUCUCAUGAGCCGGCUUGUGCCCCAUGUCCUACUCUACCUCGUCAUCGACCGAACCAACACUCUGAGGAUUGCAUCCGGCCGUUGGGUAUGGGCAAGGCGCAGCCAGACCAGCCCCGCCAAAUAUUAGGCUUAUGUUGCAUGUAAUAGUAUGAAUUUGAGGUACCUAGUUGUGGAAUGAAUUAUUUGACGCCCGGUCACUAUUCGCAGCUGCGGGCGUUUGAGGGUUCGAAUUUACUAAGUUCGGAUGUAGAUGCUCGUAAGAUGUACGGUUCUAUGUCUGAAUGAUGUCAUUUUUAAGUUGAUAACCAAGGUUAUUAAUAAUAGGGUUAUUAUUUCAACCGAAAGAACUGUAACCCUGUACAAACAACAUUUAUCAAAGAAAGAUAUAUACUUUAGUAGUUAUCUAUACCUACUAAUAAAGCAAGCUGCGUUUCGGCAAUUUUUUCAUCCUUUCAGCGCUGAUUUUUUUUUAUUAGAGGUGGUACUAAAUUCUUAUGCGUUCGUCUGCUAGAAAAAAAUGUUUUUCCAGAAUUUCGUACGUGGGUCGCGCGUUGUGGCCCGGGGAAGCCAGCCCAUUUAUUUUUCUGCCCACGCAGCUAGAAAAAUUCUAUUUUUUGCACAGGGCCAGAAAUAGUCAGAGCUUCGCAUAGGACAACCACUAAUGGGCUGGCCCAUUUCUCUUUGUUUCUGUGGUUUAAUUCUUUUUUUUUCUCCUUCCCCUAUCUCUUUCUACCCUUCCAAGUUUAUUUUCUUUCAUAAUAUAUUUCAUAAAUUCAAAAAUCCCAAAAAACAUUCAGAACUAAAAAAAUGAAAAAUGUUCAGAAUUCCAAAUUUUUGUUGCUAUUUUGAAAAAUAUUCAGACCUUGAAAAAAAGUACCCCCUUUUUUGUAAAAAAUAUUGUUUUUCAAAAUAGUUCGAGAUUUCUAAAAACUAAAUAGCAUUAUCAAAGGUGCUCCAAUUCAAAAUAUAUUCUUGUUUUAGUGAAAUUUCAGAAUUCAGAAUAAUGUUCCCGUAUAAAAGAUAAAGAUUUUCGAAAAAUGUUAUGAAUUUUUAACACAUGUUUCCGUUAUAAAAAAAUGUUCAAAAAUUCAAAUAAUGUCCAUGUUUUUUAGAAGGUGUUUUCAAAAAAUAUUCGUGAAUUGGAAAAGAUGUUCAUGUUUCAAAUAUUGUUCGCGUUUUGCUGAAAGUGUAUGUAAUUUUCAGAAACCUGUUCAGGAUUUAAAAAUUGCUUUAUGUGUUCUACAAUAUUCAGAAAAUUCAUACCUUAAAAUCUCCUCGAUUGAAAGAAAAAGUAGAUUGAAUAAUUCGUGGGCGUUCUUUGGCGUACGAUGAAGUAACGAAACUCUUAAAUGUCCUCGAUUAACAAAUAAAAAUAUGGCAGAUUGAUUACUUCACACCAGCGAAACCGAGAAGCUAAAUGUUCAUUUUUCACGUGCAGACAAAGGUGAUGAUCAAUAUACCUACCUACUAAUGAAGCAAGAUGCGUUUCGCCAAUUUUUUCAUCCGUUCACCGCAAAAAAUAUUUUUUUCCUAUCAGAGGUGGUAGUAAAUUCUUAUGUCUUCAUCUUUUUUUUUUGAGACAAUCUCGCAUGCUUUUAUUCAUAGCCCAUAAUGUUUACAGGAAUAAACUCAAGGUUUCCUGGUUGACCUAGCCAUACAUGAUGACCAAAAUUUAAAGACAAAGCAUAUCUAGCGAGAUUGUGAGCCUCGAAAUUCGAGCUCCUGAACUCAUGAACUACUUUACAUGAAGAGAAAGCGUUUGCACGAAGUAUUAUUUCAUGCACAAUGGCGCCGUAACCAGCCGCCGAGUUUUUCUGGACAUCUUCAACCACCCUCUUGCAAUCUGUUGCUAUUUGAAUGGAGUUCUCAUAUAGAUCCUCGGCCAACGAUUGGCCUUCCCUUACUGCUAUUGCCUCUAGUGUGCUUACAUCCGUGAUGAACUCAAGUUUUAAGAUCGAAGCACCCAAAAAGCGUCCUUGUUGGUCUCGGCACACUGCUCCCACUGCUCCAAACUCCCCUUGCAAGGACACUGUUGCAUCCACAUUCAUCUUUGCAUGCCCCUCCGGCGGAGGCAACCAUGAGUGUUGCCCCAAGCUAGCUUGCUUCGUAGCAUUGCCAGCUCCUCUGUCGAUCAUCUUCAAGUCCCUCAAAAAGGAGAGUAUGAAAGAGUUAGUAGUAAAAGGGCUAUCAAAAAUCUCUUCAUGUAUUGCUCUCCUUCUUGCUCGCCAAACUGCCCAGAGUGUCACCACCAUCCGUAUAAAUUCCCCUUGAGGCAAAGAUUCAUCCCACGUAAAAAUCCAGUUUUUUUCAUCCAACGAAAGAUUACCCAACAUUGCAUCCACAGUCUCCUCUGAGCAGAGUGACCAUACACUCCUGGCCAUCACACAGUCCACUAGUGCAUGCUUCCAGUCAUCUUGCGCAGAACAAAAAGCGCAACUUAUGUCUUCAUCUGCUAUAAAAAAAGAUUUUCCAGGAUUUCAUACGUGGGGCUGCGCGCUGUUACCCAGCAAAGCCAGCCCACUUAUUUUUGUGCCAAAGCAGCUGCCAAAAUUAUAUUUUCCGCACAUGGCCAAAACGUUGGAUUCUCGCACAGGACGACCAAUAAUGGACUGACCAUUUUUAUUUGUUUCUGUGUUUUACUUCUAUUUUUAUUCUCUGUCCCCUAUUUCCUUUUUCCCUUUCAAGUUUAUUUUUCUCAUAGAAUUUAUUUCAUAAACUAAAAAUUCACAUAAAAUGUCCAGAACUAAAAAAAAA